CUCCUGACCUCUCUUUCCUCCUCCCUUUUCCUGAAACUUGGGAGUUCCCUGACCUCACCCUGGGCUCUCACCUCCAGCACGAUGAGUCAGCACAG
Molecule: long non-coding RNA, 95 nt
Organism: Sapajus apella (tufted capuchin)
Lineage: Eukaryota; Metazoa; Chordata; Mammalia; Primates; Cebidae
Exons: 3
Source: RefSeq, a predicted model, not a curated record